UGAUGAAAAGUUUCGGAUUCUUGAUAACAGC
This 31-nucleotide non-coding RNA is filed under the name Mus musculus (house mouse). The record is from RNAcentral. Lineage: Eukaryota; Metazoa; Chordata; Mammalia; Rodentia; Muridae.